Long non-coding RNA from Capra hircus (goat), 688 nucleotides. RefSeq lists it as uncharacterized. NCBI's taxonomy places the organism in Eukaryota, Metazoa, Chordata, Mammalia, Artiodactyla, Bovidae. The transcript has 2 exons. The record is from RefSeq and is a predicted model, not a curated record.
CCCCCAAGCAAGCAACUCUCAAUGACCAGCAGUUGGUGAUCCUGCUCAACUAUUGGUUGGCGCCAUAGUGGGCCCCUUCCCCAAAUGAGCAACUGUCAAGGAGACACUGUUUGUGGCCCAUUCAGCCAGCUCUCAGAGGAGUGGUGGUUGCCAGGCAGAUAAUGAGGAAAUUCCAAAGGUUUAGGGGCUCUGUGCCAGAAACCAGGAUGAAGACCAAAUAUAUAUACUUCUUAUUAUGAAUCACAACACCACGUGGUGGUGUAAGCUGGGGCAGCUAUUUUGACCCUUGAGGUGAUCUUGGAAUGGAAGAAACUAAGAGACAGCCAACAAGAAAAAAGGAGACUGAAUUUUUGAGGCUGCUUUGGAGCAGCGUUGCCAUCAUGAACUUAGGUUGUGAAGCUCCCUAGGAAAGAACACUUUGCUCUUGUUUAAGUCACUGUUGUUUUACACUUCUGUUAAACUUCUAGCAACACCCCUUCAAAAGAGGACAUGUCAUUAGCAUGCACCUUUCUGCUCUUCUUUACUUUUGCUUCCUGCCUGGGAUGUGGACGCCAGAGCCAAAGCAUUGGCGACUGUUUUAGCCAACCUUGAAGAUGAUAAAUAGAAAGAGAUGGGGGUGCCUGAAAUGACUGGAUCUGCCUUCCCAGCUCUGGACUUAUUUUCUAAUACAAACUUCUCUCUUGCUGGA